Triticum urartu is the source of this 1831-nucleotide non-coding RNA. Lineage: Eukaryota; Viridiplantae; Streptophyta; Magnoliopsida; Poales; Poaceae. The record is from RefSeq and is a predicted model, not a curated record.
CAUAACCGUUGACAUCGGGGAGUUAAUUACGAGAAAAAAAGAAAAACUAUUUGCAUCAUGGAAUAUAAUGUUUAAGGCGCAUCUCAUGUCGCGGUUUUGGAGUGGGAACCAGCCAACGCACCAGAAUAACAACCGACGCGAAUGAAGAGAAGAUUAGACCAGAAGGAUCCAACCAGAAGACACAUGAACAAAGACCGGAUCCGAGAAGAUCCACCAAAGACAACCACCGAACAAAUCUCGCGAGAUCCGCCGGAGAGACACCUCCGCACGCCCUUCGGUGAUGCUAGAUGCACCACGGGAACGAAGGCUUGGCGGGGAGAACCUUAUUCCAUCUUCAAAAAGCCACGCCGUUUAGUCUUCCUGAGCAAGACACAAACCCUCACAAAACUUGAAGAAGCACCUAAAGUCGGUGAACUUUUAAGUUUCUUCAGCAUUCUUGCAAUAUGGGAAGCCAGAGGAGCGGUCGUCCAUUAUUCAGAAGCUAAAAGGGCAAGUGGUGAUCUUGAGCCAGCAGAAAUAUGCAUCUAAUGUCAUUGAAAAAUGUUUGGCCUAUGGAACUCCUGAAGAACGUGAUGUCCUUAUGAGGGACUUUUUUUAUUGUGGUCAAACAUUUCAGGUUUGUCCUACUUAACUAAGAUAUUGUGCAUCAUUGCCUAUUUUCUAAUCAAACCAUUCUGAUCUUGAAAACCAUAUCCUUUGGCGAUACACAGUGAUACGUGGCAUUAAGCACUUGUCCCUUGCAUGAAUACCAAAACUACCUUGUAGUCAACAGAUUCGCAGCAACCCCCUCUGAACAACACGAUACAUGGGAGGUGAUACUUUCAGUUUGCCAAAUUUGGUUAGUAAUCAUCAACACUGACCCGUGCAAAAUCAAUCGCCCACAACAUGUCUGCAUGUGUUCCCAGAAUCAGAUGUACAUUUACAUUAUUUUGGUCAUAUGCAAACAUAUUCUCCAUACAAACCUAAAAUACAGGGUUCACCCGACCUAUUACUCAUAGGCUGCAGAGUAUCUUCACUGCUACAAAUAUCUGAGUAUAUUCACCGCUAACUUUCUAAUUGGUGGGGUCAUUUCUUGAAGCCCCAACAUGUGUCUGGUUCUUUUUGUGUGACUAGGCAAUACAUGAGUUGAUAGUGUCUACAAAAGCCUUGUUGGUUUAGUAUGUGCUUGAUUUCUAGGUCAUUGGGUAUCAGACAAACCUCGGUUCUAAUUUGUUACUAUGUUCUAUUAUUAGUUGUGCAAAUUUUUUCAUGAUGCGCACCAAUUCUUUAGUGAUUUGAGUGCACUUCAUUCUGACUUUACCCAUUUGUUAUGCAGACACCGAUGAAGAAUCAGUUUGGCAACUACGUCGUACAGAAAGUCCUUCAGACAUGUGAUGAAAAAUACCUUGACAUGAUCCGAUCACCAUCAAGGUGCACUUGAAUGAAUGGAAGAACUGCACAUAUGUAAAGCAUAUCACUGCACGGGUUGAGAAGUUAAUAAUCUCAGGAGAGAACUGGGUGCGGAUGGCGUCGAAUCCCUGCAGAUGUCAACAUGCGGCGAAGUGCACUGACGUUGACGUUGGUUCUUCUUAAGCAUUGCCAUCACUUCUGGUGGAACAUGGAUGGACUGUGGAGGUUUUUCCGUUGGUACAGCGUGCAUGUAAUGUCAUGCCUUGGUAGAGAGGAGCAAGGUGUUCUCUUUCCUAUCUGGUGUUGAAUCUGGAGAGCCUUCGGGAAACUUCCGAGUAACUAGUUGAGUAUUAGGGUUUGCCGCUUUAUAUCUUUUCGGCCAUGUAAAAGUUUACAGGUGGAUAUAUAGCUAUACAUUUUAUGGAGUUGUUAGCUUGGUGAA